Molecule: unclassified non-coding RNA, 139 nt
Filed under: soil metagenome
Description: partial internal transcribed spacer 1
Source: RNAcentral
UAGUAAGUGUUUAUGGCACUUCUUAAAUCCAUAUCCACCUUGUGUGCAAUGUCAGCCGUUUUCUUUAUGAAAGCGGCCAAACAUCAACUUAUUUUUUAACGUCUUGUCUGAAAACUAUUAUGAAUAAACAAUUCAAAUA